AAGUUAACUUCGGUACAUCGGUGACAGGUGGUGCAUGGUUGUCGUCAGCUCGUGUCGUGAGAUGUUGGGUUAAGUCCCGCAACGAGCGCAACCCCUAUUGUUAGUUGCCAUCAUUCAGUUGGGCACUCUAGCGAGACUGCCGGUAAUAAACCGGAGGAAGGUGGGGAUGACGUCAAAUCAUCAUGCCCCUUAUGACCUGGGCUACACACGUGCUACAAUGGUUGGUACAACGAGUUGCGAGUCGGUGACGGCGAGCUAAUCUCUUAAAGCCAAUCUCAGUUCGGAUUGUAGGCUGCAACUCGCCUACAUGAAGUCGGAAUCGCUAGUAAUCGCGGAUCAGCACGCCGCGGUGAAUACGUUCCCGGGCCUU
RNAcentral lists this ribosomal RNA (370 nucleotides) under uncultured Streptococcus sp. RNAcentral describes it as "bacterial SSU rRNA". It matches the Rfam family "Bacterial small subunit ribosomal RNA", at positions 1011 to 1382 of the family's 1533-position model. Lineage: Bacteria; Bacillati; Bacillota; Bacilli; Lactobacillales; Streptococcaceae. The record is from RNAcentral.